UACGGAGGUUGCGAGCGUUGUUCGGAUUUACUGGGCGUAAAGGGAGCGCAGGCGGCCAACUUAGUCUAAAGUGAAAGUCCGGGGCUCAACCCCGGAAGUGCUUUGGAUACUGGUUGGCUUGAGUAUGUGAGAGGAGAGCGGAAUUCCAGGUGUAGCGGUGAAAUGCGUAGAUAUCUGGAGGAACACCGGUGGCGAAAGCGGCUCUCUGGCACAAAACUGACGCUGAGGCUCGAAAGCAUGGGGAGCGAACGGG
This 253-nucleotide ribosomal RNA is filed under the name uncultured bacterium. RNAcentral's name for it is "partial 16S ribosomal RNA". It matches the Rfam family "Bacterial small subunit ribosomal RNA", at positions 524 to 776 of the family's 1533-position model. The record is from RNAcentral.